This is an RNA transcript of Gopherus evgoodei (Goodes thornscrub tortoise), 3219 nucleotides long. It is a transcript of the gene named paraspeckle component 1, with no coding region annotated. The record is from RefSeq and is a predicted model, not a curated record. Lineage: Eukaryota; Metazoa; Chordata; Testudines; Testudinidae. The transcript is spliced from 9 exons.
AGGCGCAACGGCUGGGCAGUUGGAGGGCGGGGCUUUCCUCAGAGACGUUAACUCGUUGGGGUUGGGGCCGCCGCCAUUUUGAAUUCGCUCUCUGCUGGUCGGAUCCGCGGCUGCGGCGGGUAAGUGCGGCUCCGUGACCCCCUGAGAGCGCGAGAGAGACCGAGGGAAGACGAAACAUGGCAGCGAACAGCCGGAACUUGAAACAAGUGCGGAUCGAAAACAGCUCCCCGGCGGCCCCGCUCGGCAUGGUGGGGGGCGGCGGCCUGAAGGGGAUGCGGGGCCUGGAGGCGGACAACGAGGUAGGGGCGAUGGCGCUGGCGCAGGUCAAAGAGGCUGGCGACGAGGAGCAGGAGGUCGGGUUCACCAUCGACAUCAAGAGCUUCCUCAAGCCCGGCGAAAAGAGCUACACGCAGCGUUGCCGUCUCUUCGUGGGGAACCUGCCCACCGACAUCACCGAGGAGGACUUCAAGCGCCUCUUCGAGCGCUACGGGGAGCCCAGCGAGGUCUUUAUCAACCGCGACCGCGGCUUCGGCUUCAUCCGCCUGGAGUCUAGAACACUGGCUGAAAUAGCAAAGACAGAACUUGAUGGUACUAUUUUGAAGAGUAGACCACUUCGAAUUCGAUUUGCUACACACGGAGCUGCCUUAACAGUCAAGAAUCUUUCACCUGUGGUUUCCAAUGAGCUUCUGGAACAAGCUUUUUCUCAAUUUGGUCCAGUGGAGAGGGCUGUUGUUGUAGUAGAUGACCGUGGCAGAGCUACAGGAAAAGGUUUUGUAGAGUUUGCAGCAAAACCUCCGGCAAGGAAGGCUCUAGAGAGAUGCAGUGAUGGGGCAUUCUUACUAACAACAACACCGCGACCUGUUGUUGUAGAACCUAUGGAACAAUUUGAUGAUGAAGAUGGGCUACCAGAGAAAUUAAUGCAAAAAACACAACAGUAUCAUAAGGAAAGGGAGCAGCCUCCACGUUUUGCUCAACCUGGAACAUUUGAAUUUGAGUAUGCUUCACGAUGGAAGGCUCUUGAUGAGAUGGAAAAACAGCAGCGAGAACAGGUUGACAGGAAUAUUAGAGAAGCCAAAGAGAAACUAGAGGCAGAAAUGGAAGCAGCUAGACAUGAACAUCAGUUAAUGCUGAUGAGGCAAGAUCUCAUGAGGCGCCAGGAAGAACUGAGACGUUUGGAAGAACUUAGAAAUCAAGAGCUACAGAAACGCAAGCAAAUACAAUUGAGACAUGAAGAAGAACAUCGACGUCGUGAAGAAGAGAUGCUACGGCAGAGAGAACAGGAAGAACUGAGACGACAGCAGGAAGGAGGAUUUAAGCCAAAUUUCUUGGACAAUGAAGUCAAAUGGACAAAUGCAAAUACGAACACAGCUGUGCGGAAUAUCUGGCUGAAGGUUUCUUUUGGAUAACAUCUGUUUCCCCAGAUACAUAAUCACAAAGGAGUACAUGUCCUAAGUGCAUCUCAAAAAUGGAGUUCUUCCUUUCUGUUUGGUGGAUAGUGGGUAUCAUGAAGUGAUUGCUUUUCCUGCUGGCUAAGUCAAAGUGCCGUAUGGCCCACUUCAAUGGAAGUCUAUUUACUCUGCAGUUCUAUAUCUUUAGGUUAAAAUUAAAAUGCUAAAAUGCAGAUGAAGAUUGGUUUUAAAAAAAAAAGUUCUGCUGUGUCUUAAGAGUGCAGAGGGUCAAGAUCCUGAAGCCAUUUUUUUUUUUCACUUUCAGGUUGGAAAAAAGCAGUGAAGUCAAUUUCAUCUUCACCUUGAGAAAUACUGUGCAGAGCAUUGAGCAACAAACAUACUGUUCUCCCAGUGUGAAGGAGAUAGAGCUGAAGCAUGUCUAUCACUAUCAGCAUCCUCCACAUACACAAAAAAAAGCCAGUUUUUUUCAAAUGAAACAUUAGUGCUGAGUCAGCAAUGAUUUAUAACUUUUGAUUUUUGAUGUGGGGGCUAUAAGCAUGGAAAGUUCUGUUAGAUCUCUGUUCAUAGUAUUGAUAACCGGGUUUUCAAGUUUGUAGACAUUAUAACCCAAGGCAGGUUUAACUUCUUAUAUGACUGAACUGCAUUUAUGGGGUUUCUCCAAGAAAGAGAAAUAACUGAGUUAAAUGACACCAUCAGUUCUUAUAAUCAGGAGAAGGCUGGGAGUAACAUGUGGUAAAAUUAAUGGAAAUUGCAGCAAAAUCAGCAAACUUGACACCUGCUGAUAUACAAAGUCUGGAAUAAAUUGUUACAUGCUAAUCUCAGAGUAGCACCCUGUAACCCCCAUAUUCAUCAUUUGUAUGUCGUGAUAUUUCAUAAAAAGCAUGCCAUGUAACAUACCAUAUCUGCUGAAACUCAUUGUUCUGUCAAACUCUGUGCAUCGCUAUUGUGUAUGAAGUUAUGAGAUUUUGCUGUAUGGUUGUGGUUGAAAUAUGUUGAGAGUUUGGGACUCGUCCACUGCUAGCUGGCCAGUGGCUGAGGGUGGUGACCCAUGCCCAAAGGGGUGUUAAAACUACUGUUGAUCAAUAUGGUAAACAAGAAAUCUACAAUUCAAUAAGAGACAGUUACACAAGAACCACACAAUUAGGAUUGUUCAACUCUCUGACUCAGCAAGGCAUGCCUGGGCCAGUUUCUUUCCAGGGACGUGGACUCAGAGUAUAAAAUAAGGGACAAUGAUAUCAUGAGAUGACCUCUCUCCUCCCCAACAUAUGCUGAAGGCAACAAGAAUCCUGGGAAGACAAAGUCUGAGAAGGAAACUCAGACUGUAUUAAGAACUGCAACCUACCUGCAACAUCCAGUGGGGUGAGAAAAGCAGAUUCAGCUCUUUCUUAGGCUUUGUCUACACUACUACUUUUGUUUAUCAGGAGUGUAAAAACAGACCGACCCCUGGCAGACAUUGUUAAUAUGGCUCAAUAGGGGUGGUUUAAUUAUGCUGGCAGGAGAGCUCUCUUGUGCUGGGAAAGAGCAGCUACAGGGGAGACUUUACAGCGGCACAUCUGUACCACUGUAAAGUCUGUAGUGUAGAUAUAGUCUUAGUGUAAAAGUUUAGCAUUUAAAAUGUGUUCACUUUUUCUCAACUUAUGUCUGCUACCUAAAAAACCCUAUUUUCUGUAGUCAGUAAACUUGUUUUACCCUUACCAGCAAGUUUGUCUAAAGUACUGGGGGAAUCUGCUCAGAUUACAAAGGGUGCUGCAUGUUCCCUUUCCUUUGAUGAAGUGGAUACUAAUUAAUAAACUUGAACUAUUCAAGAGAA